RNAcentral lists this ribosomal RNA (696 nucleotides) under uncultured Actinomycetes bacterium. Its description in RNAcentral is "bacterial SSU rRNA". It matches the Rfam family "Bacterial small subunit ribosomal RNA", at positions 28 to 720 of the family's 1533-position model. Lineage: Bacteria; Bacillati; Actinomycetota; Actinomycetes. The record is from RNAcentral.
GACGAACGCUGGCGGCGUGCUUAACACAUGCAAGUCGAGCGGAAAGGCCUCCUUCGGGGGGUACUCGAGCGGCGAACGGGUGAGUAACACGUGAGUAAUCUGCCCUUCACUCUGGGAUAACUGCCUGAAAGGGUGGCUAAUACUGGAUGCGACCGUCCCCCGCAUGGGGUGGUGGUGGAAAGCGUUUGUGGUGGGGGAUGUGCUCGCGGCCUAUCAGCUUGUUGGUGGGGUAAUGGCCUACCAAGGCUUUGACGGGUAGCCGGCCUGAGAGGGUGACCGGCCACACUGGGACUGAGACACGGCCAAGACUCCUACGGGAGGCAGCAGUGGGGAAUAUUGGACAAUGGGCGGAAGCCUGAUCCAGCAACGCCGCGUGAGGGAUGACGGCCUUCGGGUUGUAAACCUCUUUCAGCACAGACGAAGCUGCCUCCACGUGUGGGGGUGGUGACGGUAUGUGCAGAAGAAGCACCGGCCAACUACGUGCCAGCAGCCGCGGUAAUACGUAGGGUGCGAGCGUUGUCCGGAAUUAUUGGGCGUAAAGGGCUCGUAGGCGGUUUGUCGCGUCGGGAGUGAAAUCCACUGGCUUAACUGGUGGCUUGCUUUCGAUACGGGCAGACUGGAGGUAUGCAGGGGAGAACGGAAUUCCUGGUGUAGCGGUGAAAUGCGCAGAUAUCAGGAGGAACACCGGUGGCGAAG